This 799-nucleotide ribosomal RNA is filed under the name uncultured archaeon. RNAcentral describes it as "bacterial SSU rRNA". It matches the Rfam family "Archaeal small subunit ribosomal RNA", at positions 85 to 870 of the family's 1478-position model. The record is from RNAcentral.
ACGGCUCAGUAACACGUAGCUAACCUGCCCUCGGGUCAAGGAUACCCCCGGGAAACUGGGGCUAAUCCAUGAUAGGCGUGGAGGCCUGGAAUGGUUCCACACCCAAAUGCACGGCAGUCAUGUUUGUCAUGUGCCCGAGGAUGGGGCUGCGGCCGAUCAGGCAGUUGGCGAGGUAACGGCUCACCAAACCUUUGACCGGUACGGGCCAUGAAAGUGGUAGCCCGGAGAUGGGCACUGAGACAGGGGCCCAGGCCCUACGGGGCGCAGCAGGCGCGAAAACUCCACAAUGUACGGAAGUACGAUGGGGUUAUCUCGAGUGCAGUCCGAUAAGGGCUGCUUUUCCAUAGAGUAAUAUCCUGUGGGAAUAAGAGGGGGGCAAGACUGGUGUCAGCCGCCGCGGUAACACCAGCCCCUCGAGUGGUAGGGACUUUUAUUUGGCCUAAAGCGUCCGUAGCUGGCUGUAUCCGUUUCCCGGUAAAUCCGGCGUCUUAAGCGUCGGGCCUCGGGUAAUACCAUACAGCUUGAGGGUGGGAUAGGUGAGCGGUAUUUCUGGGGUAGGGGCGAAAUCCUUUGAUCCCAGGAGGACCACCAGUGGCGAAGGCUGCUUACUAGAACACGCCUGACGGUCAGGGACGAAAGCUGGGGCAGCGAACCGGAUUAGAUACCCGGGUAGUCCCAGCUGUAAACGAUGCUAGCUAGGUGUUGGGUCGGCCACGCGCCGCCCCAGUGCCGCAGGGAAGCCGUUAAGCUAGCCGCCUGGGGAGUACGGCCGCAAGGCUGAAACUUAAAGGAAUUGGCG